AGUGAACGCUGGCGGUAGGCCUAACACAUGCAAGUCGAACGGCAGCACAGUAAGAGCUUGCUCUUACGGGUGGCGAGUGGCGGACGGGUGAGGAACACAUCGGAAUCUUCUUUUUCGUGGGGGAUAACGUAGGGAAACUUACGCUAAUACCGCAUACGACCUACGGGUGAAAGCAGGGGAUCUUCGGACCUUGCGCGAUUGAAUGAGCCGAUGUCGGAUUAGCUAGUUGGCGGGGUAAAGGCCCACCAAGGCGACGAUCCGUAGCUGGUCUGAGAGGAUGAUCAGCCACACUGGAACUGAGACACGGUCCAGACUCCUACGGGAGGCAGCAGUGGGGAAUAUUGGACGAUGGGCGCAAGCCUGAUCCAGCCAUACCGCGUGGGUGAAGAAGGCCUUCGGGUUGUAAAGCCCUUUUGUUGGGAAAGAAAAGCAGCAGGUUAAUACCCCGCUGUUCUGACGGUACCCAAAGAAUAAGCACCGGCUAACUUCGUG
Molecule: ribosomal RNA, 492 nt
Filed under: uncultured bacterium
Lineage: Bacteria
Description: partial 16S ribosomal RNA
Rfam family: Bacterial small subunit ribosomal RNA
Source: RNAcentral